This 1659-nucleotide long non-coding RNA is filed under the name Homo sapiens (human). RNAcentral describes it as "HSALNT0319772". The record is from RNAcentral. Lineage: Eukaryota; Metazoa; Chordata; Mammalia; Primates; Hominidae.
UGUUGUUAUUGUUGUUUAAAUCUUCCUGGAAGGCAGAAAGAAAGAGAUAAAAAGGAAAAAACAGCAUUUGUCACUUAUAGUGCUCUGGUUAGCACAGUAGCUGGGCCCCUGAACCCUCUACAGGCCUCCCAAGCUGGCACUGAAUAAAAUGUGAGAAAUGAAAGGAACUUUUCCGUGAGUCUGGCAGCGCCGACAGACACUGAGGUGGCAGAGCUGUCUGGUCCCAGUCCACAUGCAGAGGCCUGCAGCUCCUCCUUCCAGCCCGCACCCACCAGAGCUUCUCAGACGGGCCGUGUCCUGAGAAGGUUGUUGCCAAUGUAGAUGUUUGAGAGGCUCACUGAUGAACAAAUCAACAGAGCAGAUUUAAUCUGAAGAGAUCCAAAUAUUGUGCUUCUUUGGACUCAUAGAAAUGGCGAAAGAUUUAACAUCAGGAAGUACUUAAGUCAGCUAAUUUCUAGAGCCUUCUUCCUCCCUGUCACUUGAUUCUAGAUAGGAUCACCAGUUAGACAUCAGAACCAGAUCUUUUUAUCCAGAGAAGUACCAGUUUGUUGUUUUUCCUUCCGAAGCCAAGUCCUCGAGUUUCAGGUAGACUUCAGUUGAUUUCUGCGAGGUCUUUGCUUUCUCUCUGCCAGAAUAAUCACUGCUGAGGAAAGCAAAAAGCCCCGAAGAGCCUGGCUUGGAAUAAAAACAUGCACCAUACAAGAUUUUUAUGAAGAUUAAAUAACUUGGGCUAAAAUAUUCUGGAAGCUGCCAAGGGCUCUACAGAUGAGCUAUACAGAGGCAUUUGCUGAAAACUGGCCUGGAUUGACAAGCGCAAUGCAAACGUGGCUGCGGCAGUUCCAGGCAUCACAUGGUAACAAGAUCACAUCCAGUGAAGAAGGAAUUCUCAUAAGACAGUCAGCAGAUUUUGCAGGUUUUCAACUGAUUGGAUGAGGUUCACCUACAUUAUGGAGGACAGUCUGCUUUACUCAAAGUCCAUCAAUGUAAAUUCCUGCAAGGUGGAUAUCACUCUCACCUUCAGCGCACAAAGAAAGGAGGUAUACAGAAGACACAGAACUCACCAAAGUCACAGGAACUAGGUGAGGAUGAACCAGGCUGCAUCCAAGCAGCCCAGCUUCAGGGUCUGUAUUCUUUGCCACUACCCAGAACUUUUACCAAUAAGCAAAGCUAUUGUUUGCAAUAACAGGAAGCAAAAAUAGCAAAAAGUUCCCUUUAAGGGGGAGUGUUAUAAUAUACUUAACAAUCAGAAUGGCUGAAGCACUGAUCUGUGAGAGUGGCUACUGGUCAUAGCCUGGAGCUGGUCUUUUAGGUCCUCUUUGGUUACUGGAUCCUGGGAGGAUGGAUGAGGAAGUGGUCUCAGGCAAGGGGUGGAGUUAAGUGGCUGUGGAAGGUACUUUGGAGGCUCAGGCAGCAGCUUUUUUUCCCCUUAAACUUUUGUUUUAAGUUCUAGGGUACACGUGCAGGAUGUGCAGUUUACAUAGGUAAACGUGUGCCGUGGUGGUUUGCUGUACAGAACAAACCAUCACUCAGGUAUUAUUAAGCCCAGCACCCAUUAGCUAUUCUUUCUGAUGCUUUCCCUCUCCCAACUUCCACCCGACAGGCCCCAGUGUGUGUUGUUCCCCUCCCUCUGUUCUCAUUGUUCAGCUCCCACUUAUAAGU